UACGAAGGGUGCAAGCGUUACUCGGAAUUACUGGGCGUAAAGGGUGCGUAGGUGGUUUGUUAAGUCUGCUGUGAAAUCCCCGGGCUCAACCUGGGAAUGGCAGUGGAUACUGGCAAGCUAGAGUGCGGUAGAGGGUAGUGGAAUUCCCGGUGUAGCAGUGAAAUGCGUAGAGAUCGGGAGGAACACCAGUGGCGAAGGCGGCUACCUGGACCAGCACUGACACUGAAGCACGAAAGCGUGGGGAGCAAACGGG
Molecule: ribosomal RNA, 253 nt
Filed under: uncultured bacterium
Lineage: Bacteria
Description: partial 16S ribosomal RNA
Rfam family: Bacterial small subunit ribosomal RNA
Source: RNAcentral